UGGUGACUAUAGCAAGGAGGUCACACCUGUUCCCAUGCCGAACACAGAAGUUAAGCUCCUUAGCGUCGAUGGUAGUCGAACUCGAACCCGUCAUUCU
RNAcentral lists this ribosomal RNA (97 nucleotides) under Staphylococcus aureus. The record is from RNAcentral. Lineage: Bacteria; Bacillati; Bacillota; Bacilli; Caryophanales; Staphylococcaceae.